RNAcentral lists this long non-coding RNA (469 nucleotides) under Gallus gallus (chicken). Lineage: Eukaryota; Metazoa; Chordata; Aves; Galliformes; Phasianidae. The record is from RNAcentral.
GGCAAACUUCACAGUAAUUGGUUCCGUAGCACCGCUAGGCUUCUGGCCAUUUAGUCCCUUUAUGGCUUCUUCCGCCUCUAUUCUCUUAUCAAAACGGAUAAAUCCCACACCUCGAGAAACCCCUGUGACUUGAUCAACCAGAAUCCGUGAGGUGAUGAUGCGCCCAUAUUGUGAGAAUAACUGCUCUAAUUCUUUCUGGGUCAUUGUUUUCGGAAGGCCGCUGACAUACAGGUUCGCAUCUCUGAUUGAUGCUGAACUUGGACGGGCAUACGACACCUUUAUGGUUUUGGUCUGGAGUCUGAGUCCAUUUAAAGUGUUAAUGGCUUUCUCUGCAUCCUUUGGAUCAAUGUAGUUAACAAAUCCAUAUCCUAAACUCUGCCCUGUUGAAACAAGAAACAAGGAAAAAAAGGACUCAGUGUUUCGUUGGUUUUUUUUUUCCCUGGAAGCACACACAGCUUUCAAUAACACA